RNAcentral lists this unclassified non-coding RNA (316 nucleotides) under plant metagenome. RNAcentral's name for it is "partial contains 5.8S ribosomal RNA, internal transcribed spacer 2, and large subunit ribosomal RNA". The stretch from base 1 to 101 matches the Rfam family "5.8S ribosomal RNA", at positions 50 to 154 of the family's 154-position model. The record is from RNAcentral.
AAAAUACGAAAAGUAAUAUGAAUUGCAGAAACGAAUCAUCGAAUCUUUGAACGCACAUUGCGCCCGCCAGUAUUCUGGCGGGCAUGCCUGUUCGAGCGUCAUUACAACCCUCAGGCCCCCGGGCCUGGCGUUGGGGAUCGGCGGAAGCCCCCUGCGGGCACAACGCCGUCCCCCAAAUACAGUGGCGGUCCCGCCGCAGCUUCCAUUGCGUAGUAGCUAACACCUCGCAACUGGAGAGCGGCGCGGCCACGCCGUAAAACACCCAACUUCUGAAUGUUGACCUCGAAUCAGGUAGGAAUACCCGCUGAACUUAAGC